GGGCUCAUAGCUCAGUUGGUUAGAGCGCUACACUGAUAAUGUAGAGGUCCCUGGUUCGAGUCCAGGUGGGCCCA
RNAcentral lists this transfer RNA (74 nucleotides) under Armatimonadota bacterium. Its description in RNAcentral is "Armatimonadetes bacterium (soil metagenome) tRNA-Ile". It matches the Rfam family "tRNA". Rfam says of the family: Transfer RNA (tRNA) molecules are approximately 80 nucleotides in length. Their secondary structure includes four short double-helical elements and three loops (D, anti-codon, and T loops). The record is from RNAcentral. Lineage: Bacteria; Bacillati; Armatimonadota.